GCCGCUGUGUGACGCCUUGAGGGGCCAUGACCUGCAGCGAUACUCGUCAUGCAGACGGCCUCCGGAGCCGUGUGCGCAGGUUCGAAUCCUGCCGGGGGCA
RNAcentral lists this transfer RNA (100 nucleotides) under Streptomyces sp. V1I1. Its description in RNAcentral is "tRNA-Ser". It matches the Rfam family "tRNA". From Rfam's summary of the family: Transfer RNA (tRNA) molecules are approximately 80 nucleotides in length. Their secondary structure includes four short double-helical elements and three loops (D, anti-codon, and T loops). Further hydrogen bonds mediate the characteristic L-shaped molecular structure. tRNAs have two regions of fundamental functional importance: the anti-codon, which is responsible for specific mRNA codon recognition, and the 3' end, to which the tRNAs corresponding amino acid is attached (by aminoacyl-tRNA synthetases). tRNAs cope with the degeneracy of the genetic code in two manners: having more than one tRNA (with a specific anti-codon) for a particular amino acid; and 'wobble' base-pairing, i.e. permitting non-standard base-pairing at the 3rd anti-codon position. Lineage: Bacteria; Bacillati; Actinomycetota; Actinomycetes; Kitasatosporales; Streptomycetaceae. The record is from RNAcentral.